Molecule: non-coding RNA, 25 nt
Filed under: Rattus norvegicus (Norway rat)
Lineage: Eukaryota; Metazoa; Chordata; Mammalia; Rodentia; Muridae
Source: RNAcentral
UGUGAAAAACAGAGGUGAGAUGGCC